This 253-nucleotide ribosomal RNA is filed under the name uncultured bacterium. RNAcentral describes it as "partial 16S ribosomal RNA". It matches the Rfam family "Bacterial small subunit ribosomal RNA", at positions 524 to 776 of the family's 1533-position model. The record is from RNAcentral.
UACGGAGGGCGCAAGCGUUGUUCGGAAUCACUGGGCGUAAAGCGCGUGUAGGCGGCUUGGCAAGUCGGGUGUGAAAUCCCGAGGCUCAACCUCGGAACUGCACUCGAAACUGCCUGGCUUGAGUCCCGGAGAGGGUGGCGGAAUUCCCGGUGUAGGGGUGAAAUCCGUAGAUAUCGGGAGGAACACCAGUGGCGAAGGCGGCCACCUGGACGGUGACUGACGCUGAGACGCGAAAGCGUGGGGAGCAAACAGG